CCUUCAGCUGGAUCGUUUGGUAGUUUACGGAUGGAUUCUUAGCCUCUGUUGUGAUAUAAUUACAUUGGUUUUAUUUAUGACAUUAUUUAUAGCCUUAUAAUCCAUUACAUAAUACAUUGAGUCUUUAAAACACUGCUGUGACUGAGAAUCUGUGCUCUUAGAGGAGGAUACAGUAAAGUAUAGGGUGGAAUUAAGCACCAUUUUCAAGGCUUAUUAAAAAUCCCUUCAAUUAAAGUUAAAUAUUCACAUUUUUUUCCUUUCAUAACUGUGCUUGAAAACUUAUGUAGUAGGAUAUGCAUUCAAAAAAGGUAUGGAAGACUAUACCAGCAACUAAGUCCUACCUCACCAUCUUUUGAUGCUUUGCUUUCCACAGGUCUUCUAGCUCUACCCGGGCAUCAUUUAUCCCACCACAAGAAGGCUGAAGAUACAACAGUCUGCUUUAGAUCAAAAUACUUGAGUGGCAUGCCAUCCAAGUCCAAAGCAUUUGAUAAAUAUGAAGAAGACAAAGAAACUCAUUCUGGACUUUAGCCAACCACAAUUUUGGGUGGAGAAUGCACACUGAUUAAAACAUUUCCGUAGACAUUUUCAUCCUGUCCUCUGCUGACCAGCUUGGAAGAUAAAUGUGGAAUUGCUAUUUUCAGGUCAAUUAUAUUGAGUUAUGGAUUUUGCAUGGCACUAUACAUUUUAGACAUGUUAUUGAUUUUACUCA
Molecule: long non-coding RNA, 709 nt
Filed under: Canis lupus familiaris (dog)
Lineage: Eukaryota; Metazoa; Chordata; Mammalia; Carnivora; Canidae
Description: lncRNA (ENSCAFG00000046845.2)
Source: RNAcentral